This 1504-nucleotide long non-coding RNA is filed under the name Nicotiana benthamiana. RNAcentral describes it as "long non-coding RNA (NBEN_LNC031747)". The record is from RNAcentral. Lineage: Eukaryota; Viridiplantae; Streptophyta; Magnoliopsida; Solanales; Solanaceae.
UUUGGAACAAGUUUCCCCCGAGUUACACUUGUCCCCAAAAGUCUGCGCAAUUACACAAUUCACUGCGGCUGCGGCGCGGCCGCGCUGAAGGCCAAAUAUUCUAGCUGUGUUUUAUGGACUACCGCUGUCGCGGUGGAUUUCACCCCAGUCCACUUUUUGCUUCUUUCCGCUCGAGUGCUUCUUGAUUGGACGUUUUCUUCACGCUAUUGACUCCAAAUACUCCAUUGUUCUUCCUAACUUGAAUUAGUCCCUGCGAAGCAAUAGAAUACCAAUUAGAGCAUUUUGUUAUCAUUUCAUCUAUAAAACAAUAAUAAAACAUUGUAUAAUUAAGGUGGAAAUAUCGUCUAUAUAGCAUAAUAUCAACACCCUACACUUAAAUCAUUGCUAGUCCUCUAGCAAUUUGCCACACUCUAUUAAAGUUCCUUCCCUAUGCCUUUCCCUUAGCUGAUCACACCAUGAACAAUUAACCAAGUUGCACCUAGUAGUGAACAACCCUUGCCUCAAAAAUUGAAUCUCUCGUACCAUACAAUAUUCACACUUACUCCAACUACUCUAUACAGAAGUCAAGACUUACAUUUCCUUCGUGAAUCACAUGCCUUCACAUCACACAAGAGAGUAGUUCCACAAUUAAUAUUAUUACGAACAAUUAGGAACUCAGAUGGAUAAAAUUCGCUCACUCUCCAAAAGAACAUUCACAUGCCACAAAGAUGCACCAUAGGCUUGCCCAUAGUGUACUACUCUACUAAUCGAGCCUAUUCAGUCUAAGAUCAGUUAGGACUUCACUUGGUUGUAAUGUAGGCUAAGGGAUGGGUAGGAUAUAUAUGGAUAUGAUGACUAACUUCCCUAAGCACUUUUAAUACAAUCACAUUAACAUUGCACAUCAUACUUAUGUCAACCAGACGUUCCCACUCCUUUUGGUGCAUUUGUAUCAAGCUACCACUUAUCGACUACAUUUAUUCACUUUUUAUGGCACUUCUUCUUUUACUCUUCCAAAAUUGCACCUUUCCUUUAUGUCAUUGGGUCCACUUAAAAACCAAACCACCACCCCACACUUUAACUAUUGCAUAUGUCAAGUCCAUUCAAGUGCUCAUGGGAGGUAAAAGGGGUUCAAACAGAAGGCUAUUCAAAUAAUUAGGUAAGGUUCGCAAUGUGGUUGCCAAAGAAGUAGGAUUAUAGGCUCAACGGGGAUAACUAAGAUGUAUUACAUUUAGGUGGGUUUACUUUAUAUAUCUGGCUUAACAAAGAAAUGCCUAUAUAACUUCUAAGAGUGAAUAGAGCUACUAUUUUGCUUUGCAAACACACAUGGCAAGUUCUAGGCAUCAAAUGUAAAGCAUAGAAUAUAGUAUAGCUCACACACACAUGGGAUAUGGCCCACUCCAGAUUGGUUUAUCAAGAUACUCUCUUUUGAGUAUUCAAGUCAGUUACAAACAUACAAAUUUAAGGUACUUUAGUAAGAGUCAACCACUCAGACUAGGCAUUACACUCUAGUGCCGAUUGUGUUCAG